RNAcentral lists this ribosomal RNA (467 nucleotides) under uncultured bacterium. RNAcentral describes it as "partial 16S ribosomal RNA". It matches the Rfam family "Bacterial small subunit ribosomal RNA", at positions 28 to 507 of the family's 1533-position model. The record is from RNAcentral.
GACGAACGCUGGCGGCGUGCUUAACACAUGCAAGUCGAACGGAAAGGCCCUGCUUUUGUGGGGUGCUCGAGUGGCGAACGGGUGAGUAACACGUGAGUAACCUGCCCUUGACUUUGGGAUAACUUCAGGAAACUGGGGCUAAUACCGGAUAGGAGCUCCCGCUGCAUGGUGGGGGUUGGAAAGUUUCGGCGGUUGGGGAUGGACUCGCGGCUUAUCAGCUUGAUGGUGGGGUAGUGUCUUACCAAGGCUUUGACGGGUAGCCGGCCUGAGAGGGUGACCGGCUCCUGAGGCAGGGAGUAAGCACCCGAGCGCAAUGGGGGGGGAGGGGGGGAGGUUUUAGACAAAGGGGCGAAAGCGUGGAGGAAGGACGCCGGGUGUGAGAUACCGUCUUUUGGGUAGUAAACGGAUUUGGACUGUGACAAAGCGUGGUAGAGGUAAAUGGGUAAAAAAGCACCGCUAACUUCGUG